This 826-nucleotide long non-coding RNA is filed under the name Rattus norvegicus (Norway rat). RNAcentral describes it as "long non-coding RNA NONRATT020156". Lineage: Eukaryota; Metazoa; Chordata; Mammalia; Rodentia; Muridae. The record is from RNAcentral.
UUCCCACGUGCCCUGCAGUCCCUCAGAGCUGAGCAGUAGAGACUGAGGAUGCUAAUGUGCUAUCUGUUUUUGUUUCUAGGACGGUGAACUUUGACAUAAUAAAAUACUUGUAUGAUUUCUUGUGAAAACAAGCUUCAAAGCCAUAUGGACACUGUGACAAUGACUAAGCCAAGCUGUGUUCAUCCAACUACUCGGCUGGCCAGGGAAAGGAGUUCUUUGGCUCUAUUGGAUUUGUCCAAACAGGUGCUGGCCCAGCAUGGAGCCUGAUGAAAACCCUCUGAUUGGUCUGGGUAGAUGUGAGCAGAAGACUAUUUACCAGGGGCCCGGGAGUAUUUGGAAGCAACGUGUUAAUUAUAAACAGCAGGGUUUGAGCACAAUCUGUUCUACUCUUAAUGAUGUUAUCUUAACACUGAAAUUGCCUGAAACCCAUUUACUUAGGACUGUGCUUUGCUCUAUGAACUAUCCCCUGCACUUUGAACAUGCCAGCAGCCCUUGUUUGUUUGCCCAGCCUUUUCACUUCCUCUCCACGGGAGCCGCUGCCAGCUCUUGCCAGAGCAGAUUUCCUAAGGCCACUGUUUUAGAAGAUCAUGGUUGCUAAAGUAUGCGCUGUAUAUGCUUAUGGUUUACCCUGGUUUUCCCAAACACAAGGCAGCUUGUUCAUUGUACACACAACAGCUUCAUGUCUGACUCUGCUUGCUGCCCUGACAGUACUGGUCACUCUCGUUAACCACCAAUGGCUUUUUAGAGAAUGUUGUUUUCCUUCCUUUUUGCUUUUGAGUCGCUGAGGUUUGAGAGCCCCACAAUAAAAUUCUUCCUUUUACAUUGU